GGAGGAAAAGAAACCAACAGGGAUUGCCCUAGUAAUGGCGAAUGAACAGGCAAAAGCUCAGAUUUGAAACCCUCGGGAUUGUAAUCUGGAGACCUGGAUUUGGCACGCUGACCAAGUCUUCUGGAACGGAGCGCCAUGGAGGGUGACAGCCCCGUAGCAGCAGCCACUGUAAAUCCGGGUCGACGAGUCGAGUUGUUUGGGAAUGCAGCUCUAAGUGGGUGGUAUGCUCCAUCUAAAGCUAAAUAUUGGCGAGAGACCGAUAGCGAACAAGUACUGUGAAGGAAAGAUGAAAAGAACUUUGAAAAGAGAGUGAAAAAGUACGUGAAAUUGUUGAAAUGGAAGGCAAUGAGGUGCGAUUGAACCGGACGUUUGCGGGCAGGACAAAAGCGCAGGCCGCCUCGGCAUUGCCUGCGUGCAUACUGCCUCGCGGACUACCAGUUCUAACAACGCCUUAUUGCACCCGUCUUGA
RNAcentral lists this ribosomal RNA (469 nucleotides) under Entelexis sorbosivorans. Its description in RNAcentral is "Starmerella sorbosivorans partial large subunit ribosomal RNA". It matches the Rfam family "Eukaryotic large subunit ribosomal RNA", at positions 52 to 657 of the family's 3401-position model. The record is from RNAcentral. Lineage: Eukaryota; Fungi; Ascomycota; Dipodascomycetes; Dipodascales; Trichomonascaceae.